GUUAGGGGUGCCUGAGGGGGCUACAGGGGCCUGGCUGAUGGCAUGAGAGGGCUGCAGGGGUCCACGGGGUCUAUAGGGGUCUGGGUGGUGGCCUGUGCGGGUGGCGGGGCCAUGUCAGGGCUACAGGGGUCUGUCUGAGGGAGUGGGGAGCUGAGGGGGCUAUGGGAGCCUGGCUGGGGGUCUGUGUGGGCUAUGGGAGCCUGGCUGGGGGUCUGUGGGUGCUAUGGGAGCCUGGCUGGAGGUUUGGGGCACCUGUGGGUGCUAUAGGGGCCUGUCUGGGGGUGUGGCGUGCUGUAGGGGUUUGUGCUGGGGGAUGUAUUGGUGCUGUAGGGGUCUGGGUGAGGGUUAGAGGUGCCUGAGGGGGCUACAGGGGCUUGGCUGAUGGCAUGAGAGGGCUGCAGGGGUCCACAGGAUCUAUAGGGGUCUGGGUGGUGGCCUGUGAGGGUGGCGGGGCCAUGUCAGGGCUACAGGGGUCUGUCUGAGGGCGUGGGGAGCUGAGUGGGCUAUGGGAGCCUGGCUGGGGGUCUGUGUGGGCUAUGGGAGCCUGGCUGGGGGUCUGUGGGGGCUAUGGGAGCCUGGCUGGAGGUUUGGGCACCUGUGGGUGCUAUAGGGGCCUGUCUGGGGGUGCGAGGUGCUGUAGAGGUUUGUGCUGGGGGAUGUACGGGUGCUGUAGGGGCCUGGGUGCUGUGAGUCUACGGCAUGACAGCUGCAUGGCUGCCUCAUGCGCUGCCUGGGAUGUCGGGCUCCCCUUUGCUCUGCUGGUCCCAGCUGUGCUGGCUGCUGGUCCCAGUAGCAGCCGUGUGGCUGGGGGGGGGGCCUGGGCUGUGCCCCAUGAGUGACCAAGAGCCCAGGCACGGCUCGGCUGCGGUGUGGGGUGCCAGGGUCCCCACCCCAUCUUUGGGGUGCUGGGGGGCAGGUGGACCAGCUUGUGCUGCUUGGGAAUUCCCGAGCUCUCACCUGCUUCCUGGCUGCUGGGGCUAAAUCUCAAAUAAUCCAGAAUCAUCUUUGUCAGGGCAUCCCAAUGUCAGGUACAGCCGCCUGGGCUGUUUGUGUGCCAGGACGUAAUGGAUGGGGCUGGUAGUGGGAGAAAUGAGCUGGAGGGGGUGGGGGAGAGAUGGCCGGGCUCCCCAGAUGCAGCUGCUGCCAGCAAAGCGCACUAUGAAAAUUAAAUUGGCCUGCAGAGUGCCGGAAGGGUGAGCUGGCAGAAAUGCCGGGAUGCGUCUGAUCUCACCGGGCUUAAUCAGCCCGAGACCUGGGAUGAGGCUGGUCCGUUGGCCAGGCGCCGGCUGGCCACAGCCGAGCAGAGUCAGGAGGAGGAAGAUCUCGUCAUCCCCUCAGGAAUGAAGAUCGCUGCCCAGUUGCGGACCUUUGCUGGUGACGGCUGACGGGCGCCUGUGGGAGUUCACACCUCUCCCAGGCGCUGGCUCCGGCUCUUGGCACGCGCCGGGGAUGUGCCUCGGCUUCCCUCGCUGAUGCUGCCUGGAACAGCAGCGAACCGCCUUCGCGUCUGCCCCGAGAGGCACGACCGGCCCAGGCUGCGGGCACAGGAGCUGCUCCCGUGUGUGGCUCCGCUGCCUCCCCCGUCCUCCCUCCUCUCCUGCCGUCGCAGGAUGUUCCGUGGGGAGCACCUGGAUUCAGUUCAGCCCUUCACAGAGUUACAGGUGCUGGCGAGGUGCUUUGGCCGCUCUGGGGGAGCCCUCGGGAGCGUUUCCCUCCCUCCAUCCGUGUGGAAGUGAGCGGUGGGUCCCAUCCUCGCCCUGCCCAAGCUCCACUCCCGGCCCUCGCCGCUCCCUGACUCCAGCUGUUUCGACGCCCAGGGCAGCGCUUCCCGGCUCUCCCACUCUCCUGCUCCUGACCCUGCAAAAGCCUUGGCGAGAAUCCUGGAGCAGAUCCUGCCCUGGCUGUGGAAGCGGGAUGAAGACGUCCCUGUGUUGCCCCUGGGUUCCGCUGUCCUUGGGUGGGUUGGGGAGCUCAGCCCUGCUGCUCCCCCCCUCCCCGUGCGCUCCUCCCCCAUCUCGGCUGCACGAUGCGGAGGCUGCUGGGGUGAGACUGCGGCUUCUGGGAGCUCAGGGUUCAAAUCCAAACCAGGGCUUGGAGCAAAGGGAAUCCUCCCAACAAGGAGUUUUCUUCUCCUGACAGGCGAGUUGCUGCCUGACCCCCCCCCCUUUCCCUCGCUCACCCCCCAGCCAUGAAAACCCUCGUGCUUCAUGUCUGAGCCACUGGGAAUGGCGUCCUGCCGUGAGCUGGGCCGGGGGGGGGGAGCGCUCCCCUUGGUAAACCCUGCCUCAUUUGGAAGUUGGCCCUUGCACUGAAAAUAAAAUUCUGUUGAGAUGGCA
This is a long non-coding RNA of Aquila chrysaetos chrysaetos, 2336 nucleotides long. RefSeq lists it as uncharacterized. The record is from RefSeq and is a predicted model, not a curated record. Lineage: Eukaryota; Metazoa; Chordata; Aves; Accipitriformes; Accipitridae. The transcript is spliced from 4 exons.